This 433-nucleotide ribosomal RNA is filed under the name uncultured bacterium. RNAcentral describes it as "partial 16S ribosomal RNA". It matches the Rfam family "Bacterial small subunit ribosomal RNA", at positions 29 to 507 of the family's 1533-position model. The record is from RNAcentral.
AACGAACGCUGGCGGCAUGCCUAACACAUGCAAGUCGAACGAGACCUUCGGGUCUAGUGGCGCACGGGUGCGUAACGCGUGGGAACCUGCCCUUAGGUUCGGAAUAACUCCCCGAAAGGGGUGCUAAUACCGGAUAAUGUCUUCGGACCAAAGAUUUAUCGCCUUUGGAUGGGCCCGCGUUGGUUUAGCUAGUUGGUAGGGUAAAAGCCUACCAAGGCGACGAUCCAUAGCUGGUCUGAGAGGAUGACCAGCCACACUGGGACUGAGACACGGCCCAGACUCCUACGGGAGGCAGCAGUGGGGAAUAUUGGACAAUGGGCGAAAGCCUGAUCCAGCAAUGCCGCGUGAGUGAUGAAGGCCUUAGGGUUGUAAAGCUCUUUUACCCGGGAUGAUAAUGACAGUACCGGGAGAAUAAGCUCCGGCUAACUCCGUG